UUGGAAUGUAUGUUCUGAGCAGAAACUAUUGGCGUGCAGCACUAAGCGCAGGGUUUCGUCGACGCCAUUUUUAUGAACGUUUCUAGAACUACAGCGUGGUGUGUUUCAAGAUAAUUUCAUGUGCACUUCUCAACCUUCUUGUCUAAAUGUCAUCUUUGGAGCUUGCUGGUGACAAAAGCUUGCAGCCUGUGUUCCCACGGUAGUGUUUCUCCAUCUUACACCUGGAAGUGGAAACCUUGAACAAAUGUGACGCUGUUUGUCCGUAAGUACUGCGAAAUGAGAAACAUCUGGUUUUGGAAGCACCAAACAGCAUGAUCGUAAUGUGUCACAAAGUGGUCCAAGAUGUCAUCACCACUGAUGUCCAAGGAUUGGCCUCCUACGAGCUUGAAUUCUCAUCUCCAAGACUGGAUGAACUCAUCUUGGUCAAGGGCAGGUCCAUGGCAACAGCUUUUGUCGCAAUUAGUGAUUACUAGCAAUCAGAAAGACAGCAUGAAAGAUGCUUGGUUUUCUUGAGCCCUUGGGGUCUCUCAUUCCACGAGGCCAGGCCCAAGUGACCAUAGUCAUGAAACUUUACUCCUGAUUGGCUAGGAUGGAACCCUCAUUUCUGGUCACUCCAGGCAAACUAUCCAGCAGCAAUAAAUUUUGUUGAAGCUAAAAGUUCCUCCAAUUCAUAAACAUGCAAGUCUAACAUUUCAGAUGUGAAACACUUCAUUUUUGCAGUGUUGGUCAUGGUCAGUUCAAAUAGAAAACAAACCUAAUCUGGACAGAAUGACGACUCAGACCUGUCAGUGAUUGGUUUAAUUUGUUGCCAUGGAUUUGCUCAAAAUGUUUACAUAAGAGUUGGUUUUGAACCAGGCACAUAUAACUUCAAAGAUUUGUAAAUUUUCCACUUUGCUGUCAUGGACUAAAUGUGUGGACAUUUACACAGCCGUCCAUUUUACUUGUCAAUCAACUUUUUGUAAUAUGUGAAAGUGAAUUUGUUAAUCCUGAAAAGAAUUUUACACAAUUCUGGUAUGUGCCUGGUUCGGUUCCUUUUAUAUUUGAAGUACUUAUGAAUAGUUUUAUACUGUGUAUAAAUCCAAUCUACACCAGCACAUCAUGAAAUUGAUUUCCUAUUUUAGUAGAAAUAGCACAGACUGUUUAUUGGUUAAUGUGCAUAUAAAACGUGAAUUACUUUUAGUCCAUUAAAGUACACACUUGAUUAAAGUAGGGAACUUCAAACCAAUGCAAUUUCCAGUGUAACAGUUAGGUCAAAAUUGGUGAAAAACAUAACUAGUUUUGCAGUUUUUAUUCAAAUGAAUUCAGGAGUUGCGUUGCAACUACAUUAGAAAUUUGAAUUUCUUAGAUGUUACAGAGGAGUAUGCUGCAAUGUUAAAACAACAUGUAGAGUGUUAUAAAUUGAUUCGUUUUCAGAAUGCCUUUGAUACUUUAUCCUUCUCUACAAAUUAACCUUAAGACAUCUUUUAAUUGUUGGCAUAUUUCGUGUUUCAUGACGUCAAAAAUCUUUUGCAUGACUUUUCUGAAUUUAUCAAAUUUCCAUCUUUUUCUUUUGGUCUUUGUACUUAGUUUCAAAAGUCAAUUAUUACCUUUAAAUAGUAGGAUGUGCUGGUGUAGAUUGUUUUUGCAUUGAUUGCUGAAUUAAAAAGUACAGUUUUUUGUUGUGUGUUUUUGUGUUUAAUUCACCUGCUGCCUAUUUUUUGAGAUUGCAGAAGACACAAUCGAUUAAAAGACAAAAACCAGAAAUUAAAUAGAUGUACACUGUACGUGUACUAUAGAUGGUGUUUAGAACAAAGCCUGUUUAUUUCAGUUGAAGAAAAAAAGGUCAUUUCAUCUCGUCUUCAAGCACAUGCAUUCAGAACAAAAAUAGGCAGCAGGCUUGUUUGUCCAUUGGUAUCACUGAUGGGGUGGGGGGAAGGAAACUGGGUGGGGUGUUUUGUAGCCUGUGAAUGCAUGAGAUGGGUCAUUUGUUUUUUAUUUGUUCUUAGUGAAGUAGCCGAAUUGUGAAAAUGCCCUUAAAAGUUCUUUGUUUCGUNAAUGGG
Molecule: long non-coding RNA, 2039 nt
Filed under: Acanthaster planci (crown-of-thorns starfish)
Lineage: Eukaryota; Metazoa; Echinodermata; Asteroidea; Valvatida; Acanthasteridae
Description: uncharacterized LOC110979777
Source: RNAcentral